CCUACGGGUGGCUGCAGUGGGGACUAUUGGACAAUGGGGGGAACCCUGAUCCAGCGACGCCUCGUGAGUGAAGAAGUAUUUCGGUAUGUAAAGCUCUAUCAGCAGGGAAGAAAAUGACGGUACCUGCCUAAGAAGCCCCGGCUAACUACGUGCCAGCAGCCGCGGUAAUACGUAGGGGGCAAGCGGUAUCCGGAUUUACUGGGUGUAAAGGGAGUGUAGACGGUGCAGCAAGUCUGAUGGGAAAGGUCGGGGCCCAACCCCGGGACUGCAUGGGAAACUGGCAAACUGGAGUGUGUGAGAGGUAAGUGGAAUUCCAGGUGUAGGAGUGAAAUGCGGAGAUAUCAGGAGGAACACCAGUGGCGAAGGCGACUAUCUGGCACAUAACUGACGCUGAGGAGCGAAAGCGUGGGGAGCAAACAGGAUUAGAUACCCCGGUAGUC
Molecule: ribosomal RNA, 440 nt
Filed under: uncultured bacterium
Lineage: Bacteria
Description: partial 16S ribosomal RNA
Rfam family: Bacterial small subunit ribosomal RNA
Source: RNAcentral